Non-coding RNA from Taeniopygia guttata (zebra finch), 804 nucleotides. The record is from RefSeq and is a predicted model, not a curated record. NCBI's taxonomy places the organism in Eukaryota, Metazoa, Chordata, Aves, Passeriformes, Estrildidae.
UGCCCAGGGAAGGUGGGGUGGACAAGCAAUGAACCUCCAGUUGCCCAAUGGAUCUUGCUGAGAAUAUUUUUAGAAAUCUGAGAUAUGAAGUUUUAACAGUUUACAUCAACGGAGGCUGCUGAUGGUCACUUGUUUCUCUGUGAGAGCAGGUGACAGCAGCGAGCAACGGAGCUAAGAGGAAGGAGAGAGAGAGAAAGAGAGAGAGGAAAUCCAGCCAACAAGAGCCGUCUGUGUCAAUCCUGGCAAACGGGAGGUGGUCCUCCUUGAAAACUCCAGUGGCUCCCUCUGCCAGGCAGCAAAGGCCAUUCAGGCCAUUCUGGACUCCGAGGCUGGUGGAAAUUUCAGAUACUCCUCAUGCUCACAAAGGAGAACUUUGCCACCUUAGUGAGGCACAGCAACAACUCAGAGUGCUCUGGAGAGUCUCUGCUCCCUCUGGAUGCUGGACAGACAGACUCUCAGCAGAUCUCCAGUCCCUUUUGGACUAAACCAAGAGAAUGUGAAGCAUUUCUCCUUCCUCUCAUCUCUGCUCAACACAGAAGACUUUAUACUUAAUUCUCAUUGGGGGAAUUUUUUUGGUGAUGGAAAAUGUUGUCAAUUAUAUUUUGCCAAGAGGGAAAAACAAAGCCUGAAAAGACUAAUAGCAAAUACAAGAUUGCUUUCAAAUUUUUGGGUUUUGAUUUUUUUUUUAAUAAAAACCUGCAAAUGUUCCAUCUGUUUUCAUCAAAUUUUGUGCAAGAGGCAAAUAAUGUUUGGAUCAUUGCUUUUGGCUUGAUUUCUCCAUCCUCCUGCUCCAGAACAUGGCAG